Molecule: long non-coding RNA, 1099 nt
Organism: Sus scrofa (pig)
Lineage: Eukaryota; Metazoa; Chordata; Mammalia; Artiodactyla; Suidae
Source: RefSeq, a predicted model, not a curated record
GCAAUGCCAGAUCCCCAAUCCACUGAGCACGGCCAAGGAUGGAACCCAAAUCCUCAUGGAUACUAGCUGCAUUCGUUCCCACUGUGCCACAAUGGGAACUCCCAAGCUCAAUUACAGUUUGAUGUGCUGACAACAAAUUCUGAAGGGAUACUGUUUACAACAGCAAAACUAACAUCAUUCUUAUUAAGUCUGAAAAAGCAGGUAAAACACUGACAAAUUUAAACUGGCUUUGUCUCCUUAAAUAGGUGGUUGAUUGAUCAGAAUGAAACAGGACCAGCCUUCUGUUUUGCUUCCUUGAAUAAGUUGUUGAUGAAUCAAACCUGGAGUUAUUUUUCACAGACAGCACUGGGCAUGUGCAAGACAUAAACCCAUGUCUUUAAGAAAACCCCAGAACCAGGAAUCUUCAGUCUAUGGAACUCAAAGAAUAGAAAUGCUGCCGCAGGAGCUCCUUAUGAAAUGGUCAAGUUCCUCAACAAGAAAACUCUGGCUUCUGGCACCAGGGGAAGCUUAUAUUGACUAAUUCAAAACUAGCCAAUCAGCUUCCAAGUGUGAAAUUUCCCCAAUCCCCUAAAUUUCACCCGUGGCCCUGGGUGGAGGAGGUUGAGAGAUUGUUGUCUCUUAUUUCCUUGCCAGUAGACGUCACAAUAAAAGCCCUUAAUUUUCUCAAAAGCUGCUGCCUUGGUGUUGGCUUUUGUGCCCCCUGGGGAGAGAGUCCUUGCUUUGGUAACAACCUUGGCAACCACGAAGGGACACAGGUCUUGUGUGCACUGUGGUCCCCUAGCAGGGUGAGGGCCCUUGCCCCCAGACUUGUCUAGAGGGUCCGCUGUCUGGUUCCUGCUUCCCUGCUGCUGCUCUCCAGGCUCCUUGAUGCUACUUUACUUUUAAGAGAAGAAACAGCUCCUGGAUCAGAUAUCUCGGGCUGUUUUCAGCUGGAUUGUUAAAUUCUGCCAAAAGAGAUUCUCAACACACACUCCUACUGGAUUAUGGGUUUCCAAUAAUUAUGUCUUCGAAAAGUGUUUUUGCCAGGAUGGAUGGCUGCAGAACUGAGUCUGGGAAAUCAACAAUCUGCCUUCCAGGUGAAAGGAAUGAAGAAAGAAGA